GGGUUGUGAGGUUAAGCGACUAAGCGUACACGGUGGAUGCCCUGGCAGUCAGAGGCGAUGAAGGACGUGCUAAUCUGCGAUAAGCGUCGGUAAGGUGAUAUGAACCGUUAUAACCGGCGAUUUCCGAAUGGGGAAACCCAGUGUGAUUCGUCACACUAUCAUUAACUGAAUCCAUAGGUUAAUGAGGCGAACCGGGGGAACUGAAACAUCUAAGUACCCCGAGGAAAAGAAAUCAACCGAGAUUCCCCCAGUAGCGGCGAGCGAACGGGGAGCAGCCCAGAGCCUGAAUCAGUGUGUGUGUUAGUGGAAGCGUCUGGAAAGGCGCGCGAUACAGGGUGACAGCCCCGUACACAAAAAUGCACAUGCUGUGAGCUCGAUGAGUAGGGCGGGACACGUGGUAUCCUGUCUGAAUAUGGGGGGACCAUCCUCCAAGGCUAAAUACUCCUGACUGACCGAUAGUGAACCAGUACCGUGAGGGAAAGGCGAAAAGAACCCCGGCGAGGGGAGUGAAAAAGAACCUGAAACCGUGUACGUACAAGCAGUGGGAGCACGCUUAGGCGUGUGACUGCGUACCUUUUGUAUAAUGGGUCAGCGACUUAUAUUCUGUAGCAAGGUUAACCGAAUAGGGGAGCCGAAGGGAAACCGAGUCUUAACUGGGCGUUAAGUUGCAGGGUAUAGACCCGAAACCCGGUGAUCUAGCCAUGGGCAGGUUGAAGGUUGGGUAACACUAACUGGAGGACCGAACCGACUAAUGUUGAAAAAUUAGCGGAUGACUUGUGGCUGGGGGUGAAAGGCCAAUCAAACCGGGAGAUAGCUGGUUCUCCCCGAAAGCUAUUUAGGUAGCGCCUCGUGAAUUCAUCUCCGGGGGUAGAGCACUGUUUCGGCAAGGGGGUCAUCCCGACUUACCAACCCGAUGCAAACUGCGAAUACCGGAGAAUGUUAUCACGGGAGACACACGGCGGGUGCUAACGUCCGUCGUGAAGAGGGAAACAACCCAGACCGCCAGCUAAGGUCCCAAAGUCAUGGUUAAGUGGGAAACGAUGUGGGAAGGCCCAGACAGCCAGGAUGUUGGCUUAGAAGCAGCCAUCAUUUAAAGAAAGCGUAAUAGCUCACUGGUCGAGUCGGCCUGCGCGGAAGAUGUAACGGGGCUAAACCAUGCACCGAAGCUGCGGCAGCGACGCUUAUGCGUUGUUGGGUAGGGGAGCGUUCUGUAAGCCUGUGAAGGUGUGCUGUGAGGCAUGCUGGAGGUAUCAGAAGUGCGAAUGCUGACAUAAGUAACGAUAAAGCGGGUGAAAAGCCCGCUCGCCGGAAGACCAAGGGUUCCUGUCCAACGUUAAUCGGGGCAGGGUGAGUCGACCCCUAAGGCGAGGCCGAAAGGCGUAGUCGAUGGGAAACAGGUUAAUAUUCCUGUACUUGGUGUUACUGCGAAGGGGGACGGAGAAGGCUAUGUUGGCCGGGCGACGGUUGUCCCGGUUUAAGCGUGUAGGCUGGUUUUCCAGGCAAAUCCGGAAAAUCAAGGCUGAGGCGUGAUGACGAGGCACUACGGUGCUGAAGCAACAAAUGCCCUGCUUCCAGGAAAAGCCUCUAAGCAUCAGGUAACAUCAAAUCGUACCCCAAACCGACACAGGUGGUCAGGUAGAGAAUACCAAGGCGCUUGAGAGAACUCGGGUGAAGGAACUAGGCAAAAUGGUGCCGUAACUUCGGGAGAAGGCACGCUGAUAUGUAGGUGAAGUCCCUCGCGGAUGGAGCUGAAAUCAGUCGAAGAUACCAGCUGGCUGCAACUGUUUAUUAAAAACACAGCACUGUGCAAACACGAAAGUGGACGUAUACGGUGUGACGCCUGCCCGGUGCCGGAAGGUUAAUUGAUGGGGUCAGCGCAAGCGAAGCUCUUGAUCGAAGCCCCGGUAAACGGCGGCCGUAACUAUAACGGUCCUAAGGUAGCGAAAUUCCUUGUCGGGUAAGUUCCGACCUGCACGAAUGGCGUAAUGAUGGCCAGGCUGUCUCCACCCGAGACUCAGUGAAAUUGAACUCGCUGUGAAGAUGCAGUGUACCCGCGGCAAGACGGAAAGACCCCGUGAACCUUUACUAUAGCUUGACACUGAACAUUGAGCCUUGAUGUGUAGGAUAGGUGGGAGGCUUAGAAGUGUGGACGCCAGUCUGCAUGGAGCCGACCUUGAAAUACCACCCUUUAAUGUUUGAUGUUCUAACGUUGACCCGUAAUCCGGGUUGCGGACAGUGUCUGGUGGGUAGUUUGACUGGGGCGGUCUCCUCCUAAAGAGUAACGGAGGAGCACGAAGGUUGGCUAAUCCUGGUCGGACAUCAGGAGGUUAGUGCAAUGGCAUAAGCCAGCUUGACUGCGAGCGUGACGGCGCGAGCAGGUGCGAAAGCAGGUCAUAGUGAUCCGGUGGUUCUGAAUGGAAGGGCCAUCGCUCAACGGAUAAAAGGUACUCCGGGGAUAACAGGCUGAUACCGCCCAAGAGUUCAUAUCGACGGCGGUGUUUGGCACCUCGAUGUCGGCUCAUCACAUCCUGGGGCUGAAGUAGGUCCCAAGGGUAUGGCUGUUCGCCAUUUAAAGUGGUACGCGAGCUGGGUUUAGAACGUCGUGAGACAGUUCGGUCCCUAUCUGCCGUGGGCGCUGGAGAACUGAGGGGGGCUGCUCCUAGUACGAGAGGACCGGAGUGGACGCAUCACUGGUGUUCGGGUUGUCAUGCCAAUGGCACUGCCCGGUAGCUAAAUGCGGAAGAGAUAAGUGCUGAAAGCAUCUAAGCACGAAACUUGCCCCGAGAUGAGUUCUCCCUGACUCCUUGAGAGUCCUGAAGGAACGUUGAAGACGACGACGUUGAUAGGCCGGGUGUGUAAGCGCAGCGAUGCGUUGAGCUAACCGGUACUAAUGAACCGUGAGGCUUAACCUUACAACGCCGAAGCUGUU
RNAcentral lists this ribosomal RNA (2929 nucleotides) under Escherichia coli. RNAcentral describes it as "bacterial LSU rRNA". It matches the Rfam family "Bacterial large subunit ribosomal RNA". Lineage: Bacteria; Pseudomonadati; Pseudomonadota; Gammaproteobacteria; Enterobacterales; Enterobacteriaceae. The record is from RNAcentral.